GCCGAAUCCCCGUGCCUGCGUGGUGCGCGGGAAAUGUGGCGUAAGGAAGCCCCACUCCGUGCCUGCGCCCGGGCUCACGUCCUUCUGAUCGAGGCCUUCCCACAGAGGGUGUCAGGCCCCCACGGCCCACGGCCUGGCGCGGAACACGGCUUUCAGGAGUCGGGUUGUUUUGGAAUGCAGCCCAAAGACGGGUGGUAAACUCCAUCCAAGGCUAAAUACUGGCACGAGUCCGAUAGCGAACAAGUACCGUGAGGGAAAGUUGAAAAGCACUUUGAAGAGAGAGUUCAAGAGUACGUGAAACCGCUAAGAAGCAAACGGGUGGGCCCGCAAAGUGGCACGGGAGAUUCAGCGUGUCGGGGAGUACGUCCGCCGGGCUUCAGGAUCCGCAAGGACCGCUGGGCGGCGGCUCGUGCCUCCGACGCGUGCACUUUUUCCGCGCGCAGAGCUGACGACCGGCUGGGAGUCUACCAAAAGGCUGACCGGCAGGUUCCUCCUACAGUUCUCGGACUCGGGAGAGCUUACAGCCGGCUUGCAACGGCUAGACGCCCGGUCGAGGAAGGGUAUCCGCGCCUGCCCCGCCGUGGGCUGGGCCCCCUGUCUCCCGCAGGUUGCGUCGGAGCGGGACUGUCCUCAGUGUCGUUCCGGUGCAGCCUACGGCUGCGCAGAUCGGGUCUCAUCAGGCGCUUCGGGUCGGUCAGCGAGGUCGGUCGCCCACCCGACCCGUCUUGAAACACGG
RNAcentral lists this ribosomal RNA (736 nucleotides) under Neogymnocrinus richeri. RNAcentral describes it as "eukaryotic LSU rRNA". It matches the Rfam family "Eukaryotic large subunit ribosomal RNA", at positions 113 to 664 of the family's 3401-position model. The record is from RNAcentral. Lineage: Eukaryota; Metazoa; Echinodermata; Crinoidea; Cyrtocrinida; Sclerocrinidae.